GAAGCUUGACAGUCUCUUCGCGUAUGGGA
Molecule: non-coding RNA, 29 nt
Filed under: Rattus norvegicus (Norway rat)
Lineage: Eukaryota; Metazoa; Chordata; Mammalia; Rodentia; Muridae
Source: RNAcentral